AUGGCCGGGGAGGACCCCAUGGCGGAGCACGGCCUCAAUCUUGCCAUCAAAGACUACCCAUUCGCUAACGAUGGGCUCCUCAUCCGGGACGCCAUCAAGGGGUGGCUACUGGUAUACGUCUCCCAGUAUUACCCGGAAGCUGCCACCAUCGCCAGCGACGUGGAACUACAGGCGCUCUAG
RNAcentral lists this ribosomal RNA (180 nucleotides) under Triticum aestivum (bread wheat). RNAcentral's name for it is "partial small subunit ribosomal RNA". The record is from RNAcentral. Lineage: Eukaryota; Viridiplantae; Streptophyta; Magnoliopsida; Poales; Poaceae.